GAUGAACGCUGGCGGCGUGCCUAAUACAUGCAAGUCGAGCGAACAGACGAGGAGCUUGCUCCUCUGACGUUAGCGGCGGACGGGUGAGUAACACGUGGAUAACCUACCUAUAAGACUGGGAUAACUUCGGGAAACCGGAGCUAAUACCGGAUAAUAUAUUGAACCGCAUGGUUCAAUAGUGAAAGACGGUUUUGCUGUCACUUAUAGAGGGAUCCGCGCCGCAUUAGCUAGUUGGGAAGGUAACGGCUUACCAAGGCAACGAUGCGUAGCCGACCUGAGAGGGUGAUAGGCCACCCUGGAACUGGGCCACGGUCCAGACUCCUACGGGAGGCAGCAGUAGGGAAUCUUCCGCAAUGGGCGAAAGCUUGACGGAGCAACGCCGCGUGAGUGAUGAAGGUCUUCGGAUCGUAAAACUCUGUUAUUAGGGAAGAACAAAUGUGUAAGUAACUAUGCACGUCUUGACGGUACCUAAUCAGAAAGCCACGGCUAACUACGUG
This 497-nucleotide ribosomal RNA is filed under the name uncultured bacterium. RNAcentral's name for it is "partial 16S ribosomal RNA". It matches the Rfam family "Bacterial small subunit ribosomal RNA", at positions 28 to 507 of the family's 1533-position model. The record is from RNAcentral.